This 2486-nucleotide long non-coding RNA is filed under the name Panax ginseng (ginseng). Its description in RNAcentral is "long non-coding RNA (PGIN_LNC013097)". Lineage: Eukaryota; Viridiplantae; Streptophyta; Magnoliopsida; Apiales; Araliaceae. The record is from RNAcentral.
UACCCAGUAUUGCAAGGCAGGUCGUAGAAACAGUCUUCCUGCACAUAUUUAAAAAUAAUAGCAAAGUCAGUAAAAUAAUAGCAUAGUUAAGAAAACGUGCUAAAUUUACCCAAACUGCAUUAUUCAAUAACUUAUUACAAAUGAAAGAUGAAAAGAUCAACCUAUUUUGAUCACCAAAAGAAAAUAUAUAUAGAGAGCAUAAAACGAAAGUCAUCAUUAGAGCAUAUUUAAUAAAGCUUUAUCCUAGUCUGGAUGGUGCUUCGACAUAUAGGACAGAGAUGAAGAUCUUGUCCACAUUCACAAUAUGUCUGCAAAUAAGAACGAAAAAGAAAACUUGAAGAUACACUCUAGUCAUGUUCUCUAAAAAUGAAAACCAAAAACCUUUUGACAGUGAUACCUGAUGUCCACAACCAAACGCCAUAUCCCUAGGAUUGGUAAUGCAAAUGGGACAUAACUGUCACAAGGCAGACAAGAAACAGUUUACUAUGAUUCCCAACAAUACAUGAACAUUCCAAUACUAAAUCCAUUAAUGGUAUGAUGCAUCACUAGAAUAAAAUUGAGAAAAUAACAAACACCAGAAAUAUAAAGGUUAUAUUCACCUCGAAAUCAGUACUACAAACACAAAGCUCAUACAUAACACAUAUAUAUAAUGAACAGCUAGUUCAGUAAGAACUCACCAACUUGUACUGCUAACUAUGAGUGCUGGCCUAUUAUGAUUCAAGACUAUAUCAGUGCCAACCUGGAUUGUAAAUAAAGUAGCAUUUAAAUUAUGUCUAUCUGUACCUGUCAUUUAUACAAAUCACAAAUGUGUGUAAAUAUCCAAGUAAGACUCUCUGCUCUUGCACAACUUCACUAGACAUAGAAUUGAAAAUCGAAUUUCUCAAGUACAAUACCAUUGCUGAUGCAGUCUUGAAGACCAUAAGACUCAUCCAGAUUUUUACUAAUCCUGCAAAACAACUAGAAUCCACAGUCCAAUUAUAAAUUGCCAAGUCAAUUGUACUCUUUAGAGUGAGUUGAGAUAUAAAUAUGAUUUACAUUAUACAAUUUAUAAAUUGUAUAAAUUGUUGCUGGUGCUUUCAAGGGUGGGGCUUAUAUUUGAAAGAGCUUGGGCACGGAAGUGGGCUUGGUUUGGGACUGGGGCUGUUAUUACCUGACACUGCUGCUGAGUUGGGGAGUUGCUGCACUGGGUUAAUGUUUGGAUCUUGCUGGGCAUUUACACUGCUAUUCGCUAGGUUUGCUGCUUAUUGGGUCUUCUCUGCUCGAGUUGUCUGUAGUAUGUGUCUUGUUUGGCGUAUCAGCUGGGGGGCAUUUACACUGGGUCGUUUUCGACUGUGGCUUGCUGCAGGCAUUUGCACUGGGUCUUUUCCGACUAUGGUCUGCUGCAGGCAGGUUUAGCUCGAUGGAUCAACUGGGGGGCUAGUAGGGUAAGAUGCUACUGCUGCUGGGUCUGCUGUGUGUGCGACUGCUGCAGUGCUGGGUAUGAUGCGGGUGUGCUCUUACCUCAGUCAUACUUAUUAUGAUGCCUUGAAAACUGUUGCAGACUGCUUCGCAUGGGCUGUUACGUGGUUGCUGCUAUCGCGUUGUUGCUGCUACAUCUCUAUUGCAACUUGCCAUGCUCGGUUGUAGAUGCAAGGACUAUGUAGUAUUGCUACAGGUUUUUGCUGCUAUUGUUUCUCUAUAUGAGUUGAGUGUAGUUUGAGGGCUUGCUUCAGUUGUUGCUCCUGGUUUGGCUCGUUGGUGCUGCUUUGAAAGGCUUGGUUUGGUUAUUAGUGCCGAUUCUAGAGACUGUGGGUCUGUUUCGGCUUUGCUGCCUGCUUUGAAAGGCUCUAUAGUUUGAGGGCUUUCUUCAGGUGUUGCUGCCUGCUUUGCUCUAAAAUUUAGAACCGCAUUGAGGACCAAAUUAUUAAAUUAUAACAGAGGACUAAAAAUGUGAAUAGGCAAAAUGCAGUAUAGUUUGUAUUAUCGAGCAGACCCUCUUACGAAUAUGUGGAGAUUAUUACUGGAAAAUUCCAAAAUUAGUAGUUAUGUCCAAGUGUCGGUACGGAUUUAAUAUGAUACUUUGGCAUCAUGCGUAGAAAAUACUAAAAAGUUUUUGAUCAAUACCAAUCGAAGUUCAAAAUAAAAUUGUUAUGGUGAGGCUUAAAUCUGCCAUUUAUUCAAGUAAAAAAAAAACAACAUACUGUAUGCAGAAGGGGCCAUAAGCACUAGGAACUACAGACAUGAACAAAUUGCUAUUAUGCACAUAAAACCAACUGUUGGUCAAAGUAACAUAACAUAAUAAUGUUAAGGAAACUAAUACUGCUGAAGUGAAUGAAUUUAAAGCACAAACCUUCCUGAAGUCAUCCCUUGAGAAAUUCUCAACCAUUUUGGGACCUGAUGAGAAGAAGCCGAGGGCUGUAUGCAACAAUUCCAAAGCGGGAGUUCUCUACAGAAUUGCAAAGAUUAUUACAACAGAUUUUCGAUAUCAGGAGAAUCUAUUGCUCUUA